Molecule: small RNA, 1104 nt
Filed under: uncultured fungus
Lineage: Eukaryota; Fungi
Description: eukaryotic LSU rRNA
Rfam family: Eukaryotic large subunit ribosomal RNA (bases 668-1104)
Source: RNAcentral
UCCGUAGGUGAACCUGCGGAAGGAUCAUUAACGAAUAAACUUUGGAUUGUUGCUGGCCUCUAGUUAGGUAAUGUGCACGUCCAUUUAUUCUUCAACCACUGUGCACCUUUUGUGAGCCUUUGUAAAUAUACGGAUUUGAGACUUGCGCCUAACCCGCGCUCGACUCGUUAAAGUCGUUUUACACCGGUUUCACGUUUAUUACACACAAACCAUGUAAACUUUAGAACGCAUGAAUAGAGAGUUGGGACUCGCGCCCUCCUUUUAAAAUGUCUAUACAACUUUCAACAACGGAUCUCUUGGCUCUCGCAUCGAUGAAGAACGCAGCGAAAUGCGAUAAGUAAUGUGAAUUGCAGAUUUCAGUGAAUCAUCGAAUCUUUGAACGCACCUUGCACCUUAUGGUAUUCCGUAAGGUAUGCCCGUUUGAGUGUCAUUGAAUCAUCAAACCUACAACAUUUCGUUGCUAGGGCUUGGUUAUGAGGGUUUUUUGCGGGCUCUGACGAGUCGGCUCCCUUUAAAUACAUUAGCGAGACUUCCCUUUGCUGACCGUCUCCGGCGUGAUAAUUAUCUGCGUCGAAGUUUGCGGUUCUCGUCGGGCUUGCUUCUAACAGUCUCUUGACGGAGACGAUUAGGAUUUGAGUGCAUAUAUGCGCUCAUUUCUGAACUCUUUUGACCUCAAAUCGGGUAGGACUACCCGCUGAACUUAAGCAUAUCAAUAAGCGGAGGAAAAGAAACUAACAAGGAUUCCCCUAGUAACUGCGAGUGAAGAGGGAAAAGCUCAAAUUUAAAAUCUGGCAGUCCUUGCGGCAGUCCGAGUUGUAAUUUAGAGAAGUGUCGCCCGUGUCGGACCGUGUACAAGUCUCCUGGAACGGAGCGUCGUAGAGGGUGAGAAUCCCGUAUAUGACACGGACUACCGACGCAUUGUGGUGUGCUCUCGAAGAGUCGAGUUGUUUGGGAAUGCAGCUCAAAAUGGGUGGUAAAUUCCAUCUAAAGCUAAAUAUAGGCGAGAGACCGAUAGCGAACAAGUACCGUGAGGGAAAGAUGAAAAGAACUUUGGAAAGAGAGUUAAACAGUACGUGAAAUUGUUGAAAGGGAAACGCUUGAAGU